GAGUUUGAUCCUGGCUCAGGAUGAACGCUGGCGGCGUGCCUAAUACAUGCAAGUCGAGCGAACGGACGAGAAGCUUGCUUCUCUGAUGUUAGCGGCGGACGGGUGAGUAACACGUGGAUAACCUACCUAUAAGACUGGGAUAACUUCGGGAAACCGGAGCUAAUACCGGAUGAUAUUUUGAACCGCAUGGUUCAAAAGUGAAAGUACGGUCUUGCUGUCACUUAUAGAUGGAUCCGCGCUGCAUUAGCUAGUUGGUAAGGUAACGGC
This 267-nucleotide ribosomal RNA is filed under the name uncultured microorganism. RNAcentral's name for it is "partial 16S ribosomal RNA". It matches the Rfam family "Bacterial small subunit ribosomal RNA", at positions 9 to 264 of the family's 1533-position model. The record is from RNAcentral.